UGGGGAAUAUUGCACAAUGGGCGCAAGCCUGAUGCAGCCAUGCCGCGUGUGUGAAGAAGGCCUUCGGGUUGUAAAGCACUUUCAGCGGGGAGGAAGGCGUUAAGGUUAAUAACCUUGGCGAUUGACGUUACCCGCAGAAGAAGCACCGGCUAACUCCGUGCCAGCAGCCGCGGUAAUACGGAGGGUGCAAGCGUUAAUCGGAAUUACUGGGCGUAAAGCGCACGCAGGCGGUCUGUCAAGUCGGAUGUGAAAUCCCCGGGCUCAACCUGGGAACUGCAUUCGAAACUGGCAGGCUAGAGUCUUGUAGAGGGGGGUAGAAUUCCAGGUGUAGCGGUGAAAUGCGUAGAGAUCUGGAGGAAUACCGGUGGCGAAGGCGGGCCCCUGGACAAAGACUGACGCUCAGGUGCGAAAGCGUGGGGAGCAAACAGG
RNAcentral lists this ribosomal RNA (429 nucleotides) under Chloroflexota bacterium. RNAcentral describes it as "Chloroflexi bacterium partial 16S ribosomal RNA". It matches the Rfam family "Bacterial small subunit ribosomal RNA", at positions 355 to 776 of the family's 1533-position model. Lineage: Bacteria; Bacillati; Chloroflexota. The record is from RNAcentral.